CGCCCCCGGGAGCCCCCCAACACUGCAUCUGUGCGUCGGAGUCAUAAGUAAAUUGAACAAAACUUUCAACAACGGAUCUCUUGGUUCUGGCAUCGAUGAAGAACGCAGCGAAAUGCGAUAAGUAAUGUGAAUUGCAGAAUUCAGUGAAUCAUCGAAUCUUUGAACGCACAUUGCGCCCUUUGGUAUUCCGAAGGGCAUGCCUGUUCGAGCGUCAUUUCACCACUCAAGCCUCGCUUGGUAUUGGGCGCCGCGGUCCCCGCGCGCCUCAAAGUCUCCCGGCUGAGCCGUCCGUCUCCGAGCGUUGUGAUCCAUGAUCGCUCCGGGGUGCGGGCGGCCGCGGCCGUUAAAUCUUCACCAGGUGA
RNAcentral lists this ribosomal RNA (362 nucleotides) under Ascomycota sp. ARIZ PAAsh2-3 (B). RNAcentral's name for it is "eukaryotic LSU rRNA". The stretch from base 61 to 214 matches the Rfam family "5.8S ribosomal RNA". The record is from RNAcentral. Lineage: Eukaryota; Fungi; Ascomycota.